CCUACGGGUGACAGCAGUGGGGAAUAUUGCACAAUGGGGGAAACCCUGAUGCAGCGACGCCGCGUGAGUGAAGAAGUAUUUCGGUACGUAAAGCUCUAUCAGCAGGGAAGAAAAUGACGGUACCUGACUAAGAAGCCCCGGCUAACUACGUGCCAGCAGCCGCGGUAAUACGUAGGGGGCAAGCGUUAUCCGGAUUUACUGGGUGUAAAGGGAGCGUAGACGGCAGCGCAAGUCUGGAGUGAAAUCCCAUGGCUUAACCAUGGAACUGCUUUGGAAACUGUGCAGCUAGAGUGCAGGAGAGGUAAGCGGAAUUCCUAGUGUAGCGGUGAAAUGCGUAGAUAUUAGGAGGAACACCAGUGGCGAAGGCGGCUUACUGGACUGUAACUGACGUUGAGGCUCGAAAGCGUGGGGAGCAAACAGGAUUAGAUACCCCGGUAGAC
This 440-nucleotide ribosomal RNA is filed under the name uncultured bacterium. Its description in RNAcentral is "partial 16S ribosomal RNA". It matches the Rfam family "Bacterial small subunit ribosomal RNA", at positions 338 to 795 of the family's 1533-position model. The record is from RNAcentral.